CUUGCUUCUACCGUUGAAAACCACGGUACAAUUUAGUCGGGCUGAAAUCCCUCGCUCUCUCCUCUCGGUCUCCAGACGUUCUCUCUUCCUCUCCAGACGCACUCUUGCUCUCUCGUCUGAAUCCCAGAUCCGCCCUCCCUCUGUUCUUGGAAAAUAUUAUUCUUCUUCCCAGAUAUAGCUCCUCGCGAGCAUGUCAGCCUCAGACGUUUGGAUUGCUGUGGCCCGAUCUCAACGACAGAUUGUUCUACAACGACGUCGUUCGAGCCUCUAAUUCCGGUACUCUCUUUCUCUCCCUCUCUUUAAAAUCUCCCUAGUAAGAUACUGUUUUUUUCUACUAUUUCUGUUUUUUUUUCCUGCAUUUUCUCGGCAGCCAAACAGCCUCCAAGCCUAGAACUCGAUUGUCGAUGCUUUCUUCGAUUUUAACUUGUCCGAAUUUGACUCCGAUUGUUGGUGUGCAUUACAGAACUGACACUGAUCGAGUUCUACUCUAGCAAGUACAAUAAUUCAGCUCCAUUGCAAGGGUAAUCAGCUUAUACCAAAUUGCAUUCCAACAAUUUAAAUUAAUUUGAUUUAUUUACUGAUUUAUUUUUGCACUUUAAGCAAUAAAAAAAUGUUUAAUUUGAAGAACAGAUGAAAACUUUGUACUGAUAAUUGAGCAGUUUCUUCGUGAA
This is a non-coding RNA of Malus domestica (apple), 671 nucleotides long. Lineage: Eukaryota; Viridiplantae; Streptophyta; Magnoliopsida; Rosales; Rosaceae. The record is from RefSeq and is a predicted model, not a curated record.